RNAcentral lists this transfer RNA (63 nucleotides) under Urocitellus parryii (Arctic ground squirrel). RNAcentral's name for it is "Spermophilus parryii (Arctic ground squirrel) tRNA". It matches the Rfam family "tRNA". Rfam says of the family: Transfer RNA (tRNA) molecules are approximately 80 nucleotides in length. The record is from Rfam by way of RNAcentral. Lineage: Eukaryota; Metazoa; Chordata; Mammalia; Rodentia; Sciuridae. RNAcentral also lists the same sequence under 1 other name.
GGGGAUUUAGCUCAGUGGUAGAGCACUUGCCUAGCAUGUGCAAGGCCCUGGGUCCAAUCCCCA